Molecule: ribosomal RNA, 496 nt
Filed under: uncultured bacterium
Lineage: Bacteria
Description: partial 16S ribosomal RNA
Rfam family: Bacterial small subunit ribosomal RNA
Source: RNAcentral
GAUGAACGCUGGCGGCGUGCCUAAUACAUGCAAGUCGAGCGAACGGACGAGAAGCUUGCUUUUCUGAUGUUAGCGGCGGACGGGUGAGUAACACGUGGAUAACCUACCUAUAAGACUGGGAUAACUUCGGGAAACCGGAGCUAAUACCGGAUAAUAUUUUGAACCGCAUGGUUCAAAAGUGAAAGACGGUCUUGCUGUCACUUAUAGAUGGAUCCGCUCUGCAUUAGCUAGUUGGUAAGGUAACGGCUUACCAAGGCAACGAUGCAUAGCCGACCUGAGAGGGUGAUCGGCCACACUGGAACUGAGACACGGUCCAGACGCCUACGGGAGGCAGCAGUAGGGAAUCUUCCGCAAUGGGCGAAAGCCUGACGGAGCAACGCCGCGUGAGUGAUGAAGGUCUUCGGAUCGUAAAACUCUGUUAUUAGGGAAGAACAUAUGUGUAAGUAACUGUGCACAUCUUGACGGUACCUAAUCAGAAAGCCACGGCUAACUACGU